UAGGGAAUCUUCCACAAUGGACGCAAGUCUGAUGGAGCAACGCCGCGUGAGUGAAGAAGGUUUUCGGACCGUAAAGCUCUGUUGUUGGUGAAGAAGGAUAGAGGUAGUAACUGGCCUUUAUUUGACGGUAAUCAACCAGAAAGUCACGGCUAACUACGUGCCAGCAGCCGCGGUAAUACGUAGGUGGCAAGCGUUGUCCGGAUUUAUUGGGCGUAAAGCGAGCGCAGGCGGAAGAAUAAGUCUGAUGUGAAAGCCCUCGGCUUAACCGAGGAAUUGCAUCGGAAACUGUUUUUCUUGAGUGCAGAAGAGGAGAGUAGAACUCCAUGUGUAGCGGUGGAAUGCGUAGAUAUAUGGAAGAAUACCAGUGGCGAAGGCGGCUCUCUGGUCUGCAACUGACGCUGAGGCUCGAAAAGCAUGGGUAGCGAACAGGAUUAGAUACCCUGGUAGUCCAUGCCGUAAAACGAUGAGUGCUAAGUGUUGGGAGGCUU
This 488-nucleotide ribosomal RNA is filed under the name uncultured bacterium. RNAcentral describes it as "partial 16S ribosomal RNA". It matches the Rfam family "Bacterial small subunit ribosomal RNA", at positions 355 to 833 of the family's 1533-position model. The record is from RNAcentral.